Molecule: ribosomal RNA, 278 nt
Filed under: uncultured Rikenellaceae bacterium
Lineage: Bacteria; Pseudomonadati; Bacteroidota; Bacteroidia; Bacteroidales; Rikenellaceae
Description: partial 16S ribosomal RNA
Rfam family: Bacterial small subunit ribosomal RNA
Source: RNAcentral
GCAGCCGCGGUAAUACGGAGGAUGCGAGCGUUAUCCGGAUUUAUUGGGUUUAAAGGGUGCGCAGGCGGCACGUUAAGUCAGCGGUGAAAUGUCGGGGCUCAACCCCGUCACUGCCGUUGAAACUGGCGAGCUCGAGUACGGAUGAAGUGGGCGGAAUGUGAUGUGUAGCGGUGAAAUGCUUAGAUAUGUCACAGAACACCGAUUGCGAAGGCAGCUCACUAAUCCGCAACUGACGCUCAUGCACGAAAGCGUGGGGAUCGAACAGGAUUAGAUACCCC